CUCAGUGCCUACAGAGCAGAAGAUGAUGAAUACAGCAGCUGGAAUAUCAGUGGCCAUGGAAGAAAUGUCAAUCACAGGAUAAAGACCCAUCAGCCCGGAAGGACAAGAAACACAGCCGAUGGGCAUGAGAUGAGGAGAAGGACCCUCACAAUGUGUGGCUGAAAGAGUAAACUACAUGUGACCUACCCAGCUGUCGGGGAAAAACUAAAAACUCUACCAGAAAAAUAGCAUCUGCUCUACCCCGGCCCUCACUAACAGCCAGCUGUUUCCAGUUAUUCUCACCUGCUGGCCAGGUGCUCUCAGGAUGAACUCUCACCGGGGGUGAAGCAAAUAAAGAGCGCCCCAAUGAGCAGACAAGCUGCUGUGGUGCUUUUCUCUUUGCCGCGGGGGCCAUGACCUCCUUCUGCCCAUCUUGCCCCGGCCCUUUUAUUCCCUAGGACUCUCAGGGCUGCUGGCAGUUUCUGUGAACUUUGGAGCUGCCUCUUCUCUCACUCUGCCCGUGAUAACCGUGUUCUCCUGGGUUCUGCUUCCAGGCCUCUGGGUCAUUACCUCCCCAUCCAGUCCAGCUGAUCCUAAUUACGAGGGGAAUAAAGAACUCAGAAGCACACAGGGCAGAGGUCCUGUCCUGGAUCACAUGGCUGGGAAGAAAAUGAGUCAGAAGUAGAUGCCAGAACGCCUUGUCCUAUACGCAGAGAUUCCAUUCACCACAUCAGGAUGACUUCACAUGCUUGAAAUCUUAGAUUGAAACUGCCAAGACCGCAUGUUGAAAGCUUCAUCAUAUAAAGCAUUGCACUGACAAGACUUCCCAAAGACUACAAGAUUUAAUUCCGAGACCUAAUUGGCCAGAAAAGCCCUUAUCGAUAACACAUUCUAUCAACCUUCUUGUCGAUUUGCUCAUUCUUUGUUUUAUGACACAUAGCUUUUUCCUAAUUAAGCCUCCUUUCAGAAUACAGAGGUGAGGAACUACACCCUGAGAAAGCAGAUCCCUUUUUCCUGAGAGCCCCAUGUUCUUAAGGAACUGAGGCAAAGAAGCUGAACAUAAUCCAGUCCUCCUUCUCCAGCUGAGCUUUCAUUUCAUACUUCACUACAGUUGCUCUAAUCCCCACUUUCUCCUUGGGCUGCAGUGUAUGCCAAACACACAGCAUGUUGAAAAUCCCUGCUGAGCCGCUGAGAUGCUACACAGUGCAUGACAGAGUUUGGCAAGCAUGUGUACUAAGAGCGUUUUUUUGAAACAUCUAAAUAAAAUCGAGUCUGUGUUA
This is a long non-coding RNA of Eptesicus fuscus (big brown bat), 1259 nucleotides long. RefSeq lists it as uncharacterized. Lineage: Eukaryota; Metazoa; Chordata; Mammalia; Chiroptera; Vespertilionidae. The record is from RefSeq and is a predicted model, not a curated record. The transcript has 3 exons.